CAGCAGCCACGGUAAUACGGAGGGGGCUAGCGUUGUUCGGAAUUACUGGGCGUAAAGCGCACGUAGGCGGCUUGGUAAGUUAGAGGUGAAAGCCCGGAGCUCAACUCCGGAAUUGCCUUUAAGACUGCCGAGCUAGCAGGUGAGAGAGGUAAGUGGAAUUCCGAGUGUAGAGGUGAAAUUCGUAGAUAUUCGGAAGAACACCAGUGGCGAAGGCGGCUUACUGGCUCAUACUGGACGCUGAGGUGCGAAAGCGUGGGGAGCAAACAGGAUUAGAUACCCCCGUAGUCCCUGUCUCUUAUAA
This 301-nucleotide ribosomal RNA is filed under the name uncultured bacterium. RNAcentral describes it as "partial 16S ribosomal RNA". It matches the Rfam family "Bacterial small subunit ribosomal RNA", at positions 509 to 809 of the family's 1533-position model. The record is from RNAcentral.